CAGCAGCCACGGUAAUACGGAGGGUGCAAGCGUUAAUCGGAAUUACUGGGCGUAAAGCGUGCGUAGGCGGUUCGUUAAGUCUGUUGUGAAAGCCCCGGGCUCAACCUGGGAAUGGCAAUGGAUACUGGCGAGCUAGAGUGUGUCAGAGGAUGGUGGAAUUCCCGGUGUAGCGGUGAAAUGCGUAGAGAUUGGGAGGAACACCAGUGGCGAAGGCGGCCAUCUGGGACAACACUGACGCUGAGGCACGAAAGCGUGGGGAGCAAACAGGAUUAGAUACCCCCGUAGUCCCUGUCUCUUAUAC
Molecule: ribosomal RNA, 301 nt
Filed under: uncultured bacterium
Lineage: Bacteria
Description: partial 16S ribosomal RNA
Rfam family: Bacterial small subunit ribosomal RNA
Source: RNAcentral